UGGUGUGAAUGAUGAGAAAUAUUUUAAAUAUCACAGUUAUCCCUGUCUGAGACUUAUGUGCUGAACAUUUGUGAUCUGACACACGU
Molecule: non-coding RNA, 86 nt
Organism: Beta vulgaris subsp. vulgaris (sugar beet)
Lineage: Eukaryota; Viridiplantae; Streptophyta; Magnoliopsida; Caryophyllales; Amaranthaceae
Source: Rfam